CAUUCCCUCUGGAUUCCAGCAGCCCCACCACAGUGCAGCAAAGCUGGCUGCAAAACUCUGGGAUGAUCUAGUAGAGGAUGGGGGGAAAUUGUGGCUUAAUGCUCAUUAAGCAGCACUAAGUUUUGGUUUCUUGGGCUGGAAUUAGGACGAUUUCAGACCUCGAGCCCUGCAGAGCUGGAUUACACCUUCCAGGCAGGAGCCAGGUCUGAUUGUGUCUGCAGGUGAAGCAGUUGGCAGUGGCAUCGGGGAGAGAUGGUUGCCUGAUCAGCACCACCUCCCAACAAGGUAUUUCACCCGGAGAACAUGGAAAGGACCUUAAACCAAAGAGAUUUCAAGUUCAGUUGAGUCUCUGAACAUUUUACCUUCAGCAUGAAGGUUUGCAAGCCAAUUCCAAAAAAUGGGGACAUCUUUCCUUUGAAAGCAGCUGGGUGCAGAUGGAGGAAACUGUGUUUUAACAUGUGGUGUGAGGCCUGAGACAUUUCCAGGGAUGUGAUUUUUUGAAGCGGCGAUUCUCGGGAGCGGGGGAAGGAAGGGAGGUUGGCGCAGUUGCUCAUGAGGUGCCAGGAUGGAUGGCUGGCAGGAGGGCUUGGCAGAGCUGCCUUAGCUCUGCAUGCUCGCCUCUGAGGGAUUGCCUGUUGCUGCUGCUUUUUCCCGCUGAUUCUGAGGAACUGUUAGGGAGGCUGUGAUUGAUUUUGACCCUGUUUUAUUUAUAAGAUCUUUAUUUCUUGCGCUGGUCUCUGUGCCAUUUUUUAAACGCAUUUGGCUGUCAAGAUGUCAAAAACUGGAGAAUUGCUUUUGGAGUUUAUCUUCCAGUCCAUCCAUCUUUGGCGUUUAUCAGGUACCUUUAUAUCACUUGGGAGAAAACUUAGAGCUCCUUCAGGGUAUCUGUUGCACCUCCAGCAAGGACAGCCGAUGGGGACAGGGCUGCACUUAAUCAGAAACCCCAGCUGCCCUGCCAGGGUCUGGGCUGCUCCAGGCCAAGCACAGAUGAGAGCACCCAAAUUCUCUCCUGUUACUCCUCGAUACGCCACAGCAGAGGCUCCCCCCCUACAAAUACCUGUGUGAUAAACACCUCUCCCCUGUGAGAGAAGGACUGGGCAUCUCCAGGUCGUUUUCAGUGGCCGUGGAAUUGGAGGUUCUUUCCUCCUGGCUGUAAGGCUGUUGUGAUCUUAGACAUGGCAAGUGCUGUACUCAGUGAAGCGGAUGCAUCUUGCUGCCGAAGUCUGGGGAGGAUGAGGAGAGCGGUCCUUGAUGUACAGGAGUAAAUAGGUGGCUAGGUGAACUGAACAAAGCGUUAUGUCCUUUAGUGUUUGUAAUGCAGCUUCCCACUUGCACUAUGCGUGAGAUCAGCUUUGUUCUUCAUCUUUGAGGAGUUGCUGAGUUUCUUCCUUACCUUGUAGAGAUGGACACAGGGGGAAUUUCCUUCCUCUUGCAUGGCAGCUUGUGGAGGUUGUCUGCAGUCCAGGGUUAAAGUCCUGGGACCCCAGGUGGAGGCUGUGGCAUGGACCUCUAGCCUCUCCUACUUGCAUGUUGGAUGGUUUCUGCUGCACCUUUCCUGGUGCAGGUGGUGGCUGUGAGCUGUUGGCUCUCUGGGGUCUCUGCUUUGUGUGAUCUGAACUCCAGCACACUCAGGGAAGAAUUCUUUCAGCAGAGGCGUCAUUGCUUUGGGUAAUGGAGGGCAGGCAUGGCUGGGCGCCGAGGAUCUGUCUGAUGGUUCCCAGGCCGCACUGAUGCUGCUCUGCCAGAAGAGAGAUGGGGAAAAGAUACUUCUGUGACUACUGCGACAGGUCCUUUCAGGACAACCUUCACAACAGGAAGAAGCACCUCAAUGGAGUGCAGCAUCUCAGGGCUAAGAGAGUCUGGUACGACUUAUUCCGAGAUGCUGCCGCUAUCCUGCAAGAGGAGCAAACCAAGAAACCUUGUCGGAAGUUUCUGCAAACAGGACAGUGUGAUUUUGGGUCCAACUGCAGAUUUUCCCACAUGACAGAGCAGGACCUGGAGAAGCUGAGUGCCCAGGUUCAAGGGGAACAGAGAUCGAAGGAGCUGCGGCAGGAGGGAGCAGAUGUCCCGCCUGGCACCAUUGAGGACUGGCUGGAGAAGAGAGCAAAGAGACUGAGCACAGCUCAGAGUAACAGGUACCGGUGGCUGGGGAGCAUCCGUGUGAGGGCUGGCGGCUGCUUCUGGCCCGGACAGAGGGGGGAUCCCACAAGAGGGGUGUGAAUGUGAGAGGAGAAGGUGCAGGCGAUCAGAGGUCCUGGCUCAGCAGGACCCCCUGAGCUACCAUUUAACACUCUGCUUGCCAGCGCUGCACGCCUGCCCUUAGCACACAUGACAGACACACAUAUGGAUCCUGUCUUGCAUGCCCAUGUCCAAGAUGUGUGCACGUGUCUCCCCAUGUGCCUGGGGGGGGGGACAAGCCAGGCCUCACUGCCUGUGGCUGAUUCCCUGGGGAAGGCAAGCAGAGGGGUACUCCUGCGCUCUCUGCAGAGUGCGCAGAUGUGCCUGGAAGGACAGUGCCGCUGUGGCGAUGAGUUAUUAAUGCUCGGAGUUCGGCAGCAGGAGCCUGGUCUCAUCUGUUGACAGUUUUCCCCAUCCUCUGCCUGCCCAGUCUGCACAUCUCUGCCAGUGUUCUGUCCCUGCCAGUGAGAGGGUGGAAUUAGCUCCUCCUCGUGGCAUUCAUUCGGAUUCGGGCGCCUGCCGGUGCCUGCUGUUUCCUUGCUCACCUGACUGUGCCGCAGGCUUAAUUGGAUGACAUUUGGGCAGGUGCCAAAUCUCUCUUUUGUUCUUUUUCUAUUUGCUCCUGUCCUCCCUAUGUUUGGUCUGGGCAGGAUCUUCCUUCUGGUGCUUGUCUGGGCUCGUUGCUUUCCGUUCGGUCCAUCCAUCAGCUUGGCUGCCCUUAGCCUUGCAGUGGUGCUCACUGACAGCCAUAACCUUCCUACCCCCCCGUACGCUUCACUUGCCCCAUUUUGCUUGUCCUGCCUGUAGAAUCCCUUGAUCUUGGGGUAGAUCAUCUCUUACAGAGACAGCCGUCGUUAUACCCAGAAGAAUUUCCAGACCUUCAGAACUACUUGGUCCCUGCUGCCUCCAAAGGUGCACAAGUCCUGGGAUUUCCAGGGUUGUUGCUUUCUACCCAGCCUCUCUGCCCCUGCAGGCUCAGAAACCACCCUCAGAAGCUACACACCAACUAUUCAAAGCUUCUCUUCCUCUAUCUGGCCUUGCCGAUGCCUGUCCCUAUCAUUUCUCUUCUCCCCUUGUGCUCUCCAGCCCCAGCGUUGUCCUUCCGAGCAACUGUGUUUUGCUUUGUCUGCCAGAGAAGUUGUUUUGCAUUGCCAGGGAAGAGGGCCUGUUUUCGGCAGGUCCCCAUGCUCCUGGUGUCUAGGGAGUCUGCAUUGCUCCUGAAAAUGCUUUUAAGGACAAGGAGCUCGCUCUCCCCCCUUCAGUCUUCAAGGUCCCUGAAAUGUGGCAGAAUCUCUGGCAGGGUCUAAUGCUGCUUUGGGGAAUUUGUGGGUUCGGAUGAUAAUCUGCCUAGGGGCUGCCUUGCCUGGCUGCUGAUGUCAGUACAGACCAUUAGUCUGCACAAAACAGUAGCGAAAGUGCUCUCAAGGGCAGUCAUCUCCAGAAGGAGAUGCUGGAGACCCAGCUCCACCCCUGUCUUCUCCGGCAGCGCUGAGCAAGAAGGAUUCAAGCUGGGAUGGAAGAGUUCUUGGAAGCACACUCUCCCAGAGCGUGGUGGGAAGCUGUCGCUGUGUUAAGCCUCAGCCUGUGAGCGUAGCUGAGUUUGUUUCUGCCUUGCCGGGGGCUUUCUAGCAGGGUAGCUGGCAGGCAGUCACAAGUGGAGCUACUGCCUUGCAUGGUCUCAGAGUACACUGCGGUGACAAGAAAACGCCAUGCUGGACUAGAAGUGGCCAUGUGGUCAGGUACUGCCUUGGCUGAAAGGUAGUGCUUGCUUAAAGGCAGUAACUUGAGCAGCAUUUCUGAUUGUCACCUAGCUUAGCCCCAUGGAUGCAGAGUUGCCACGCGGCCUUCCACCCAUCCUCUGCGCAACCACUCUCCCAGCUCGAGGGCACAAUCUUCAUUUGGAGGCCUCCAACCCGACACGUGUUUUCAAAGUCACACUGUGCCAUUGCUUUCUGGAGAGCUGGGGUGGAGUCAGUGUAGUUCUCUUAGCAGCGGAGCUCUGCCAGGGUGUGAUUGAUUUUUAACCUGCUUUCCAAAGGAAUCGCAGCGCAUCGGUGCAUGUGAGUGUGUGCUUCUGCCAUAGCCGCCGUAGAGCCCGCUUGCUGAUUUCCAUCAGAAAGGGGUCUGAGGCCUCAAAGUUACUGAGAUACUACAGGUUUCACGAACGUGGAAGUGGAUAGAGGAGAGGGAUACCAUUAAUUACUUCAAAAAGGAAAUGUUCUUGACCCAUACUGGACACCAGAGAACCCCCAUGGGACAGCCAUUCCAAAUGCUCCAGCUUUAGGUAAGCCUCUGAUAGCACUUGUAUUUUAAGUGGCCCCAGGGAACUGAGUACCCAGACAGCAUCCUUGCUAUUGAUUAGUUCUGCUGCUCACAGAACAGCUCAUUCAUCGAGAGCUGUGCUGUUCCACCUUGCAGCAGGCCUUGUCCUGCUGUUGCUGGGGCUCCCCUGCCGGCGUGAGUGACAGUGCCUGGAUGUAACAAAAAACAUUCCUGCCCGGGAGGGGCUUGGUCUGUGUCCUAGCAGUCUUGUCCCAUCCUCGGCUCUGAAGAAUCCCCAUCAAGGUGGUAAGCGUUCAACCAAAUGACUUUGCUCUGUGUGAGUUGCCUGGAAAACACAGCCCUCAACUUCUGGAGCUGGCUUUUGACCACGUCGUCGGCCCUGCAGGGGGCGAGGAGGGUGCUGCUUCUUUGGAGCAUUAUGUAAAGGAGUUUGAUUAGAUUUCUUCUGGCAUAACAAUUAAAAAGAUUCAUCAGGAUCAGAGGUAGAGGCCUGAGAAGCUGGAAGGUUGCUGUCAGGGCUUGUGCUAAAGAACAGAUGAGUUUCCUGCACUCAGGAAUUAAUGGAAAAGGUGUGGCGUUUGAAGCGGCCUCAACUAGUAAACAUGAGAGAGAGAGACAGAGAAGUGUUUCCCAGGCUCUGAGUUGGAGGAGGAAGCCUGUUCCCUCUGCUGAAGGGUGCUUCUGUGAAAACACCCCCACCGUUUUGGCAGUUUCUCCAUUUCCGAGGGGUCCUUGUCCUUUGGGAAGUACACAGCUGGCUUGGGAUUUAGGCUGCUUGGAAAGAAACAUCUGCUAAUUUUGUUCGUUCUUCUCAAAACUCAGCUGUGUGAAGAGUCGAGAGCAGCUGGGGGUGGGAGGGGACAGGGCCAGCCGUGCUCUCGGCACAAGGCCUCUCCUUUCAGCAGCCAUGCUCCCCCCGCAGACCCCCUACCUGAGUGCUCCCACCUUAUUUUUCAGUGGCGUACACUAG
Egretta garzetta (little egret) is the source of this 5431-nucleotide RNA transcript. It is a transcript of the gene named zinc finger matrin-type 5, with no coding region annotated. The record is from RefSeq and is a predicted model, not a curated record. The transcript is spliced from 6 exons. Lineage: Eukaryota; Metazoa; Chordata; Aves; Pelecaniformes; Ardeidae.